AAUAAGAAGAAUGUUAUGUGAUAUUCUUCGACAAAUUGAACACAAACUCAAGUAAUGGUUUAAUUUGGGUGGAAAUCUGCAGCUAAAUUACUUGAACAACUUGCAUCCAUGCUCUUCUUUCUCGUAAACUAUUGAUUAAUUGGAACUCAGAAUGGCAGUGUGACACCAACAACACAGAAUCAACUUCACAGUGUCACAUGAGUUCUUAGUCUGUAAUGAAAACACCAGUUACGUCCUAAAACAAGUGAUGUAACAUUUGCAUGACAACAAAGCACACAGAAGGUACAAUGGAGGUAACAGGUCAAAAUAAAAUAUGCAUAGCUUCCAAACUGAGAUAUUCAGUAAAAUAUUCUGAGACGUUCCAUCAUUCAAAGUGACUAAAAAGAGAGAAAGGGUCAAAUAAAGUUGCCCACUUUUACUAGUCCAUUCUACAAAAGUACCACACUAUGUGUACCUGUGAUUUUUUUACCUCUAAUGGAAGUGUUUUGAUAUUAUUUGCCCCAGCAGAAUUAGAUCUUCUGGAUUUUUAAGUGAUUAAGAUUCCUUCCCUAUAUGUUCAUUCACUGACAGUAGGUACUAUUCAACAAUGAUCCUCUGGUAUCUGCAAGUUCAUCACCACAGGAGCACAUAAUAAGGUACCAAAGAUUCAAAACAUUACAAGAAAAGACAGGAAGCAAAAGAAUAUCAGGUGAUGCUCCACUUGAUUCAGGAAGUAAUAAAAUACCUUUUUCAGCCUUUUGGCUAAGAUCAAGUGUCAUUCAGGGAGUCAAGUUAGAAGAGUUUAAAACCAUGAAAAUGAUCUUGGUCUCACAUACGUGCAUAGAUAUAUGUAAUACAAUUACAGGAAAAUUACUUUAGUCACAAAACAAAGGAAAAGUAAAAUCAAUGGAGGAACUGUGUAUAAAUUGCUUAAAUGACAAUGAUUUUGUUUUGCAUGUAAUUUCAGUCUCAGGAAAUUACAUUGUACAAGUCAAUACAUGACAAUCUUAACAAAUAAUUUGAUAAACCAAAUAUACCUUUAGCAGCUCAUGACUUGCACAGAGCAUUCCAACUCUAGUUCAUGCACAUCAUGGUAAAAAUAUUCUGCUUUUAUCCACAAGUUGAACUAACCAAUGAUUAUAGUUUACCUUUUGCAAACCUGUGCUAUCCAUCAUCCUGACCAGUAACAAUUAUGGACUUUGGCAUGGUCAUGGGCAUAUCAGUUAUC
This 1207-nucleotide long non-coding RNA is filed under the name Phaseolus vulgaris (common bean). RNAcentral's name for it is "long non-coding RNA (PVUL_LNC002807)". The record is from RNAcentral. Lineage: Eukaryota; Viridiplantae; Streptophyta; Magnoliopsida; Fabales; Fabaceae.